Long non-coding RNA from Quercus lobata, 1004 nucleotides. RefSeq lists it as uncharacterized. The transcript is spliced from 2 exons. Lineage: Eukaryota; Viridiplantae; Streptophyta; Magnoliopsida; Fagales; Fagaceae. The record is from RefSeq and is a predicted model, not a curated record.
ACAGAUUAGGGUUUGAAGAGAAUCUGAGAGAGAGAGAGAGAGAGAGAGAGAGUGAGAAUUGAGAGAAGAUGUGGGCGACGCCGAUGCCGAUGGUGACGGUUGAAGACGAAGGUGGCCACCUGUGGACGACGGCUGACGUGGAAGGUCGCCACAUGGGACGACGGCUCACGUCAGAGAUCGGCACAGGUGAGAGAAGAAUUCAAUUAAAUUACCUUGUUAUUCCAAUAAUCGAGAGUGCUAGUGGUUUGUAGCCCCAAAUGUUCCUUUACCUCCAAUCGGAUUCUCAAAACAUGCCUCCAAUAUUUUGUGACCUUCGUCGUCAAGAUCACAAAAUAUUGGAGAUAUGUUUUGGGAAUCCGAUUGGAGUUAAAGGGACAUUUGGGCUACAAACCACCCAAAUACACUGUUCUCAAUCCACUCUCGAUUAUUGGAAUAACAAGGUAAUGUAAUUGAAUUCUUCUCUCUUUUUCUUUUUGUCCAAUGAAGAACUAUUCAUUUAAUUAGCGCUGAGUAAUUAAUUAGAGCUGUUCUGUUGUUUGAUUUGUGGAAGUGACAUUCUAAUGAAAAUUGAGUCAUGGGCAGUUGAAAAAUAUGUUAGAUUCUUUGUAUCUCUACUCUUGUAUGUUAGUGUUACUUAUCAUGUUUAUCCUUAAAAGUGUUUCAAUUAGUGGCAAGAAUUUAAUGUUUAUAUUAUUUCACUGAAAUGUAGAUAUAACCAACCUCAGUUCGAACGAUUGGCAUCAGAAUUGCAAGCUCAGCUGGAAGAAUUGGUGGAAUUUUAUGUCCUCUUGUGGCAGUGGGUUCUUGUACAUGAUUGUCAUCAAACAGCAUCCAUUGUUCUUUUUGAGAUUUUCAUGUAUUUUUGUAGUGCCAUUCGCUGUGAAUUGAGUGAUACUGUAUCUAGUCCAAAACAUAUUGCUGAAUCGGCAUGAAUUAACCACAGAAAAUUCACGCUCAGCCCCUCCGAUAUACAAUGGCAUUUAACUUUAGCCUUCUGUUGUUUA